This 842-nucleotide small RNA is filed under the name Pongo abelii (Sumatran orangutan). Its description in RNAcentral is "retained intron". The record is from RNAcentral. Lineage: Eukaryota; Metazoa; Chordata; Mammalia; Primates; Hominidae.
AUUUAAAAGAUGACAGUAGUGCAUUUUGAUCUUGGUGGCAGCACUCAGUCUUCCAGAAGGUUUGCAUUACUCUUGUGCUCAAGUAUUCUUCAUAUUACAGAACCAUCUGAAUGUUCAUAAUUCAGAAAAGCUUUCAGUUAUGUUUUCAAAACUGGUUUGUUCUAUAGGCUUCCUUUAGACAUUGAGGUGCUUAAAAGAAGUUUCUGAUAAAACUCUAGUGAUUCAAAAGAGAAGCAUGGUAUUUAAUGUUUCUGUUAACAAAAUUAUUUUCAAAUUUGUAAAAGAAUGACCUUUUAAUUAGAGUUCUUUAGGCAGUUUUUCUUUUUGUUGUUAUUGUCAGAGUUUUAAAACUUGCUUUGGAAGUUUUCUAACACAUGUAUUUACCUUUCCUUCAAAGAUUGAAGAAUGAAAAGGCCUUGCGUCUCAACCUUGUUGGUGAAAAACUGCAAUGGUUUCAAAAUCAUCUUGAUCCCCAAAAAAAGAGAUAUUCAAAGAAAGAUGCUUGUGAACUAAUUGAAAGGUACCUAAAUCGAUUCAGCAGUGAGCUGGAGCAGAUUGAGUUACAUAACAGUAUCAGGGACAGGCAGGGGAGGCGGCACUGUUCCCGGGAGACCGUCAUCAAGCAGACGAUGGAGCGGGAGCGGGAGCAGUUUGAAGGAUAUGGCCUUGAGAUUCCAGACAUUCUAAAUGCAAGUAAUCUGAAAACAUUUAGGGAAUGGGACUUUGAUCUGAAGAAACUACCAAACAUUAAAAUGAGAAAAAUUUGCGCUAAUGAUGCAAUUCCCAAGAAGUGCAAGAGGAAAACUAUUAUAACUGUAGACCAAGAUUUGGGGGAAUUGGAA